ACGGAAUAGAUACCCCGGGUAGUCCCAGCUGUAAACGAUGCAGACUAGGUGUUUGGACGGCCACGUGCCGUUCUAGUGCCGCAGGGAAGCUGUUAAGUCUGCCGCCUGGGGAGUACGAUCGCAAGAUUGAAACUUAAAGGAAUUGGCGGGGGAGCACCACAAGGGGUGAAGCUUGCGGUUUAAUUGGAGUCAACGCCGGAAAUCUCACCGGGAGCGACAGCAGUAUGAAAGCCAGAUUGAAGGUCUUGCUAGACGAGCUGAGAGGAGGUGCAUGGCCGUCGCCAGUUCGUGCCGUGAGGUGUCCUGUUAAGUCAGGCAACGAUCGAGACCCGCGUCCUCUGUUGCAGCCAGCUUUGUGCUGGGCACACUGAGGAGACCGCCACUGAUAAACGUGGAGGAAGGAGCGGGCCACGGCAGGUCAGUAUGCCCCGGAAUCUCCCGGGGUCCACACGCGAGCUGCAAUGGCAAGUACAAUGGGUUCCGACCUCGAAAGGGGGUAGGCAAUCUCGAAACGCUUGCCGUAGUUGGAAUU
This 532-nucleotide ribosomal RNA is filed under the name uncultured bacterium. RNAcentral's name for it is "bacterial SSU rRNA". It matches the Rfam family "Archaeal small subunit ribosomal RNA", at positions 724 to 1255 of the family's 1478-position model. The record is from RNAcentral.